This 958-nucleotide ribosomal RNA is filed under the name uncultured bacterium. RNAcentral describes it as "bacterial SSU rRNA". It matches the Rfam family "Bacterial small subunit ribosomal RNA", at positions 1 to 952 of the family's 1533-position model. The record is from RNAcentral.
GNGAAACNNNUAGAGUUUGAUCAUGGCUCAGAUUGAACGCUGGCGGCAGGCUUAACACAUGCAAGUCGAGCGGUAACAGGUCCUUCGGGAUGCUGACGAGCGGCGGACGGGUGAGUAAUGCAUGGGAACUUGCCCAGUAGUGGGGGAUAGCCCGGGGAAACCCGGAUUAAUACCGCAUACGCCCUACGGGGGAAAGCAGGGGAUCUUCGGACCUUGCGCUAUUGGAUGGGCCCAUGUCGGAUUAGCUUGUUGGUGAGGUAAUGGCUCACCAAGGCGACGAUCCGUAGCUGGUCUGAGAGGAUGAUCAGCCACACUGGGACUGAGACACGGCCCAGACUCCUACGGGAGGCAGCAGUGGGGAAUAUUGGACAAUGGGGGCAACCCUGAUCCAGCCAUGCCGCGUGUGUGAAGAAGGCUUUCGGGUUGUAAAGCACUUUCAGUGGUGAGGAAGGGGAGUACGUUAAUAGCGUGCUUCAUUGACGUUAGCCACAGAAGAAGCACCGGCUAACUCCGUGCCAGCAGCCGCGGUAAUACGGAGGGUGCAAGCGUUAAUCGGAAUUACUGGGCGUAAAGGGCGCGUAGGCGGUUUGUUAAGCGAGAUGUGAAAGCCCCGGGCUUAACCUGGGAACGGCAUUUCGAACUGGCAGGCUAGAGUGCAGUAGAGGGCAGUGGAAUUUCCGGUGUAGCGGUGAAAUGCGUAGAUAUCGGAAGGAACACCAGUGGCGAAGGCGACUGCCUGGACUGACACUGACGCUGAGUGCGAAAGCGUGGGUAGCAAACACGAUUAGGUACCCUGGUAGUCCACGCUGUAAACGAUGAGAACUAGUCGUUGGGGGUCUUGAAUCCUUAGUGACGCAGCUAACGCACUAAGUCUCCGCCUGGGGAGUACGGCCGCAAGGUUAAAACUCAAAUGAAUUGACGGGGGCCCGCACAAGCGGUGGAACAUGUGGUUUAAUUC